CACCAGGGUAUGCUCUGAUCAUUUGUGGAUGGAAUUUGUCCAAACUCCAUGAACAGGAACAAGGUGCCAACAAAAUACCUUGCGCAGAAGAUCCUUUCUACCAAGAAAGAAUAGACAUGUAAAUCUUUAAUAAAGGUGUUUGAAAGUGCUGAUCAGUCCUGGUGAUUCUUCAAGUCCACAGAGUUAGUAAUUCCUUGGAUCAGACUCAAUCAUUUCAUGGCUAUGCCAAAUCACAUGCUGAUGACACCAGUGUCGGUGAUGAAAGCUCUGGAAGUGUCGGCGUUCAGGCAUCUCCUUACAUGCAUGAAAUCUCCACAUAUACCGAAAGACCAGAAAUAACCAUCAAAGACAUUAAUGCAUCGGGCAAUAAAAUCAUGUUUUAUACUGGCUAGGCAACUUUCUUUUUUUAAAUUCUGUGUUUUUGACAUUUAUUGAAUUUGGUACAGACAAGUA
Dreissena polymorpha is the source of this 453-nucleotide long non-coding RNA. RefSeq lists it as uncharacterized. NCBI's taxonomy places the organism in Eukaryota, Metazoa, Mollusca, Bivalvia, Myida, Dreissenidae. The transcript is spliced from 3 exons. The record is from RefSeq and is a predicted model, not a curated record.